UAGCCAAGGAUGACUUGCCUGAUUUCCUAGCAUUUUGGGUUGUGGCUUGCAACAAUGUUUAUACAAAUUUAACCCUUGAUGCAGGUUCUCAGGCAGUCUCCUUGGCUAA
RNAcentral lists this microRNA precursor (109 nucleotides) under Manihot esculenta (cassava). Lineage: Eukaryota; Viridiplantae; Streptophyta; Magnoliopsida; Malpighiales; Euphorbiaceae. The record is from RNAcentral.